This 2522-nucleotide long non-coding RNA is filed under the name Sus scrofa (pig). RNAcentral's name for it is "lncRNA (ENSSSCG00015006660.1)". The record is from RNAcentral. Lineage: Eukaryota; Metazoa; Chordata; Mammalia; Artiodactyla; Suidae.
GGAGAUCCUGAUCCGGGGCCUGGGAUUCUGAGUUUUGAGCAACAUCCUGCGUGAUUGGAUGCACGUCAGGGUUUGAGAACCCCUCUGGUCAGUGUAGGGAUCAUGCCCAACCUAAGGUUUUAGCCACAGAGGGGGCCAGAGUCUUUCUCAGGCAAUGAAAGUAGAGUUUGUGUCUAGAUCUUCUUUGGAGAAUCAUUCCUUUCCUGCCCCUUACCCAGCCUUGCACACACCAUGUUUUUAAAAAUCCAACCAAAGGCACUAUGGUUAGAUGUGUGAGCUUUAUUAGUGUGAUGGUUUAACCAGUGUGGAAACCCCUCAGCUAACUUGGAAACAGCCGGAUACUGUGCAUGCUGAAAUGUUACUUCACAUUCCGGCUCUUGAAGACAAAUUUUGAUAGUAGCAGAAAAUGUUCAAGACGGUAGUUACUCACUGGCUUAGUUUGCGGUAAUUUAUGGUAAAGGCUUCCCCCACGUGUGUGUGUGUGUGUGUGUGUGUGUGUACAUGUGUACUCACACUUACUUGGAGGUGAAGGAGGAACCACAGCCCUUUUAUUUGGGUGGAAGGGAAUCUUUUGAUUUGACCCACUGGGCCAGAAAAUCCCUUUUCAAAUACUGUCUUGUAGCAGCUUUGCUCCUGAGGCCCCUGAGGGCUGGACAAAAGGGGGUGUGGAGUCCGACUGGCUGCCCUAUUGGCCCUGACCCCAGGCACGUGUGACUCUGCCUUUGUCUGAGGUCUUUUUUUCUCCCAGGAUUUGUACCCUAUGCUAACUAAGUUCCUGUAGCUCAGCCACCAGGAAUGAGGUUGUGGGUUGGCCAGGAUUAUUCUGAUUUAAACUGAUCAUCUUCAUGUAUUUGUGUGUGUGUCCCCUCAAGAGAACUCUGACAGGUCACACCUCCUUUACAUUAUAAAGCUAACAUCUAAAAUAAUUCUAUGGUAACUUAAGAUUUUUCUUCUUUUGAGACAAAAUAGCACAUAUUUUGUAAGAUUCAGUAAGACGACGAUUGUAAUCGAAAGAAAUAUUCUAUAAUAUGAUUAGGUAAAAUAGGUUUUCACAACCUUAUUAAAUCACACAGAAUCUGAAAGAAAUCAAAUUUUCCCCUGGGAGUUGUUUCGGACGGAUUUCGAAAAGUUUGGUGGUCCUGCAACACAUUCCAUUUAAAUGAGUCACAGCCACUAACCUAUAUUGCUUUGACUGGUCUGAAUUUAGGAGAUCCCAGUAUGGGCCAAAAUAUCCUGUUUUUAGAGCCAGAUUCACAUUUAACAGAACUAUGUAUAAGUCAGGGAAAGACAGGCAAGCCUAGGAGCUUAAGGAGCUUUAUUAUUCAUUAAAGGCUACUUCCCUGAAACCAGUAUUUUCAUGCUUUCUGUUGUUUGGAGUCCUAGAGCUCUAUACACCCGCCUGGGCAGAGGCGGGCAGUUGUGCAUUGAGGGAUGGACAGCUGAGAAGGCUGGCUGUUUUCAGAGUCAGAUCUGUUUCAGGAAAGGAAACCCGUGGCAGUUCAGGAUCUGAGCAUUGCUUCCCGUGGAGACAUCUCUGCUCUGGGAUUCAUUGAGAGUCUUCAUAAACCCCUGGGGAUAAGCGCUUCAAGCCUGAAAGAAUAUGGCUGUUUCUUGCGUCACAGCACAGGAAGCCCAGAGGUAGCUAGGUUACAGAGAUGGUUGACUGGUUCACCACCACCACCACCGUCAUCAUCGCAGAUCUAGUUUAUCUCAUCUCCUGGCUCUGUAGACUUCCUCUUCCAGUUGUGCAGCCCCAGCCUGGUCCAGGGAGUACUUCUGCAACCUCAGCCGUCCUGGCUGGAGAGGACAGUGUGAAGGAUGAGGCAGCCGGCACCCGUCUCCAGAAGCCUCAGCUGGUCUUCUUGCAUCUCAUUGGCCCAUCUGGCCUAGGCCAGCCCACCUUGUAGCGAUAAGUAACAAACUACCACAUUAGUAUGUAAAAGUUCAAAAACAUUACUUCUGAGAGCUAAACAUUUAAUAUGGUGGCUAAAAACCAGCUCCCUUCCCACAGUGAUUCCCCUCCAGUCAGCAACAUCCAACCUCACGUCACCUGUGUUGGCCUUGGCCAGCCAUUUCACGUCCACACAUGGUUCUGACCUUCUGAUUGAAUUUCAAAAUAUAACCUUGAGAUUUUUGUGCUCAUCAUUUUGUUAAAAAUGUUGUAAUGAGUUUUGAGAGCAUACAUUUCCCCACGUAAAAAUUAGGUGAAGACACAUCGAGAACUAUAUACACUCCAAGAAGUUCCGGUAUUAAAAACCAAAGUGGUGGAGUUCCCGUCGUGGCGCAGUGGUUAACGAAUCCGACUAGGAACCAUGAGGUUGCGGGUUCGAUCCCUGGCCUUGCUCAGUGGGUUAAGGAUCUGGCGUUGCCGUGAGCUGGGGUGUGGGUCGCAGAUGCGGCUUGGAUCCUGCGUUGCUGUGGCUGUGGUGUAGGCUGGCGGCUGCAGCUCCAAUUAGACCCCUAGCCUGGGAACCUCCAUAUACCUGGGGAAAUGGCCCUAGGAAAGGCAAAAAAACAAAAAA